RNAcentral lists this ribosomal RNA (500 nucleotides) under uncultured bacterium. RNAcentral describes it as "partial 16S ribosomal RNA". It matches the Rfam family "Bacterial small subunit ribosomal RNA", at positions 30 to 523 of the family's 1533-position model. The record is from RNAcentral.
AUUGAACGCUGGCGGAAUGCUUUACACAUGCAAGUCGAACGGCAGCACGGACUUCGGUCUGGUGGCGAGUGGCGAACGGGUGAGUAAUGUAUCGGAACGUGCCCAGUCGUGGGGGAUAACGUAGUGAAAAUUACGCUAAUACCGCAUACGAUCUAUGGAUGAAAGCGGGGGAUCGCAAGACCUCGCGCGAUUGGAGCGGCCGAUAUCAGAUUAGGUAGUUGGUGGGGUAAAGGCCCACCAAGCCAACGAUCUGUAGCUGGUCUGAGAGGACGCCCAGCCCAACUGGAACUGAGACACGGUCCAGACUCCUACGGGAGGCAGCAGUGGGGAAUUUUGGACAAUGGGCGAAAGCCUGAUCCAGCCAUUCCGCGUGCAGGAUGAAGGCCCUCGGGUUGUAAACUGCUUUUGUACAGAACGAAAAGGUUUCUACUAAUACUAGGAGCUCAUGACGGUACUGUAAGAAUAAGCACCGGCUAACUACGUGCCAGCAGCCGCCGUAA